RNAcentral lists this ribosomal RNA (466 nucleotides) under uncultured bacterium. RNAcentral's name for it is "bacterial SSU rRNA". It matches the Rfam family "Bacterial small subunit ribosomal RNA", at positions 63 to 518 of the family's 1533-position model. The record is from RNAcentral.
CGAACGAUGAUCUCCAGCUUGCUGGGGGAGUUAGUGGCGAACGGGUGAGUAACACGUGAGUAACCUGCCCUUGACUCUGGGAUAAGCCUGGGAAACUGGGUCUAAUACUGGAUAUGACCAUUCCACGCAUGUGGUGGUGGUGGAAAGCUUUUGUGGUUUUGGAUGGACUCGCGGCCUAUCAGCUUGUUGGUGGGGUAAUGGCCUACCAAGGCGACGACGGGGUAGCCGGCCUGAGAGGGUGAACGGACACAUUGGGACUGAGAUACGGCCCAGACUCCUACGGGAGGCAGCAGCUAAGAAUAUUCCGCAAUGGACGAAAGUCUGACGGAGCGACGCCGCGGUUGGAUGAAGAAGGCCGGAAGGUUGUAAAAUCCUUUUGAAACUGAAGAAUAAGCGUUGUAGGGAAUGACAGCGUGGUGACAGUAGGUUUUGAAUAAGCAACGGCUAAUUACGUGCCAGCAGCCGC